This 440-nucleotide ribosomal RNA is filed under the name uncultured bacterium. RNAcentral describes it as "partial 16S ribosomal RNA". It matches the Rfam family "Bacterial small subunit ribosomal RNA", at positions 338 to 795 of the family's 1533-position model. The record is from RNAcentral.
ACUACGGGUGGCAGCAGUGGGGAAUAUUGCACAAUGGGGGAAACCCUGAUGCAGCGACGCCGCGGGAGUGAAGAAGUAUUUCGGUAUGUAAAGCUCUAUCAGCAGGGAAGAAAAUGACGGUACCUGACUAAGAAGCCCCGGCUAACUACGUGCCAGCAGCCGCGGUAAUACGUAGGGGGCAAGCGUUAUCCGGAUUUACUGGGUGUAAAGGGAGCGUAGACGGCCAGACAAGUCAGAAGUGAAAGCCCAGGGCUCAACCCUGGGACUGCUUUUGAAACUGCCGGGCUGGAGUGUAGGAGAGGUAAGCGGAAUGCCUAGUGUAGCGGUGAAAUGCGUAGAUAUUAGGAGGAACACCAGUGGCGAAGGCGGUUUACUGGACUGUAACUGACGUUGAGGCUCGAAAGCGUGGGGGGCAAACAGGAUUAGAUACCCCAGUAGUC